ACCAAUGUAUACUCAACAUUCAAUGUGCACAAAUGCUGAGAACACCAAAGUUCAGCACAUUAUGAUGAAGGCAUUGUGCAAAGUGUCCUAAAUGUAGGCCAAAAGGAUGUUAUGCAGCUUGAUUCAGUAGAACCAUUAGAUGAAAGUGAAGUGGCAUCCACUAGUGAAAUGAGUACAACUGACGGUUUAGAAGAGCAGUUGCAGCACAAUCUAGCUGGCUUUUUCUUGAAAAUGCAGAGCAUUCUCCAUGUGUCCCAGAGAGCAACACAGGAGAUCAUUGAGUAGGGCUGGGGGUAAACGAUUAUUUUUAAAACGAUUAUUCUGACGAUUAUUUUAUCGAAUAGUCGACUAUUCUAAUGACUAUUUAGAAAAUUAAUCUAAUGAUUAUUUUUCUAUUGCACAAUUAACAAAAACCAGAAAAUCUCAAAUAAAUUCCUCAAAAAAAUUGAUAAAUUCUUACUGUAAGAGAAUAAACACUACAGGCCUUCCAUUUUGUAUAACACUGCUUUUAUUGUGUUGCGGUUGGUUAUGUUCUGGUGACGUGUAGAACUUGGGAGUGCAGGCUGCUGCCUGAGAGGUGGUAGAAGAUGGAGUGUCUCCAUGCUGCUUUGUUUUGGUCACUUAUGUGCGUGAGGCGAGUGGUGUUACGGGUUAAACCAAACUCAGGUGAUAUUUUACACUAAACCGAAAACCCACAACACUCUAAAUGUAAUAAAAGGGAGAUCUACACCACAAAAAAGAUGAACUCUAAACCAAAACGUAACAGCUUAUCCCAACGCAAGAAGCUGUUAGCGAAGAUGCUAACAGUAGCUUUACCAACGUUAAGUUCAAGUUACCAAGUUUAAAUAAACCAAAAACACCCAGCAGCAAACAGACCAGCACGGAGGAGAGACUGCUACCACCAAAACAGCUCUCCUCAUGUCUGAAAGAAGCUCCUUAAUGAAGGGAGAAGCGCUCCCGGUGAUUUUCUACAUCUGCUAUAGACACGAAGCAGCGCAUCUGACCCCGGAAGUUGUUGUCCGUUGCCGGGAGACGAAGGGGCAAAACAGGAAAAUAAUCUAGUAGUGGACGGACGUUGUUCCGGGUCUUCGGUAUUUGGCGGAGAUUUUAGUGAAGGCGGAGAAGAGGGCGAACUAGAGGAAAAACGGGCAGAUUCCUCCUCUAUUUACAAACUCCUGGGGAUGCAACAAGUGGGCGCGGUGCGUCGACUUCCGGAUCUGACGUCGACAAAUUUUUAGAAUCGAGCCGUCGACUUCGUCGAGGCUUCGCUACAGCCCUAUCAUUGAGCACAUUGAUCACCUGUUUUUGUUAACAGAACCUCUCAUUAAAACAUCAGUAGUUGAUAUACUGAAGAAGCAUAACUGUCUAUAUACUGACAAACUGGUCGAUGACAUUUGUCAGGCAGUUUCUGAUAGUAAUGUUUUACAUAAAUGUAUCACAUCUGGUGGACCACUGUCAACAGCAAAGAUGAGAAAAUCUUACUAUGAAGCAAACUUUCCGUAUGUCAAGCCUGUGGAGUAUUUAAUUGAAUCAUCAAAGCACACAUACAUGUAUGUGUCAAUUCUUACAUCUUUGCAAAUGUUGUUGAAAAAAACCGAAGUCCUUGAAAAAGUUCAACAAACACCCACUCAGAUACCUGGACAUUUCAUGUCAUUUUGUGAUGGAUCCUACUACCGGGAAAAUGUUCUACUCUCACAAGAGGGAACAAAACUUUCGAUAAUGCUUUAUGUGGAUGAUUUUGAAAUUGCAAACCCACUCGGUACUUCAAAGAAAAUACAUAAAGUUUUUGCAGUUUAUUGGACACUGGCAAACUUUCCAGUUAAAUCCCGUUCUGCUCUCCACUGCACUCAGCUUGCUCUCCUGUGCAACUCUAAUGAUGUGCGCCUGUUUGGGUUUAAGAAAAUGAUGUCACCACUCUUAAAUGAUCUGAAAACUCUUGAAGAAGUAGGCAUCUACAUUGAUACCCUUGGUGAAUGUCUUAAAGGCACUGUCUACUGUGUUGUGGCAGAUAACCUUGCCGCACAUGGGCUUGCUGGGUUCAAUGAGAGCUUCAGGUCUACACAUUUCUGCAGGUUUUGUCAUGCCACACAAAUAGAAAUGCAGACAAAAAAUGCAGUUACAGGGGAUUAUGUGCUGAGAACAAAGGAUCUUCAUGACAAUCUUUUACGAGAGCUUCAGAGCGAUGGCAGUGAGGGAAAUUGUGGUGUCAAAAACAGUUGUGUUCUUUCUGACCAUCUGUCAUUCUUCCAUCCUGUCACAGGCUUCCCACCUGACCUCCUGCACGACCUGUUUGAAGGCGUUGUUCCAGUGGAGAUAGCUCAUUGCUUAAAAGGUUUGAUUUCCAGUAAAUAUUUUACAUUAGAAGACUUAAAUCGAGCAAUAUUGCACUUUCCAUAUCAACAUUCUGACAAAGUUGAUCGCCCUCAUCCAAUACCCACUAAUUUUGCCAGUCGAGGGACCAUUGGUGGGAAUGCUCAUGAAAAUCAUGCCCUGCUUAUAAUGUUGCCUCUUCUCAUUGGCUCAAAAGUCCCAGAAAGAGACACGUUUUGGGAAGUGCUAAUGGAGUUAAAGGAUGUCGUUCAGCUUGCCAUGUCUCAGAUUUUUAAUGAAGAGACCAUUCAGUACUUGGCUUGUAAAAUAUUGGACCACCGGCAACUCUUCCAAGAAGUGUUUCCUAAUGUUCGAUUAAGGCCAAAGCAUCAUUACAUCGAGCAUUACCCACACUUGAUAAAAUGCUUUGGUCCCUUGGUCCACCUUUGGACAAUGAGAUUUGAGGGAAAGCAUAAGGUUUUCAAAAAAAUUAUUCAUGACACUCACAACUACAAAAAUGUGUUAAAAACUUUGGCAGAGCGACAUCAAAGUCAGAUGGCAUUUUAUUUGUCAUCCUCAAAGUUUUUCAAACCACAUGUUCAGACAUCCAAAAUGGAGUCUAUGUACAUCUCAUCACUACCUGCAGAUACACAAUCAUUUAUCUCAGGUAUUGUUGACAGUGACACAGUUUAUGGAACAAAAAAUAUCUCAAUUGAUGGCACAAGCUUUGCAAUUGGCAUGUUUGUAUGUACUGGUGCUUAUGCAGCCUUGCCAGAGUUCAAAGAGAUUCGAAACAUCCUACUCAUCAGCGACAAAAUGCAUUUUCUCUUAAAAGACUACGACACUUUGUAUGUUGAGCACUUGAGGUCAUACGAACUAGUCGAGCAUAUACCGGAGAGUCAUAGUGUCAAAUCUGUGUGCCAGCUGUCUGACCACCUGCCACAUUUUGCUUAUAAGAUUGCAAAUGAACUAAUUCUAACAACAAAACAUUUCAUUCCAGUGUCUGACUAAAGAAACAGAACUGAAAUAUCAGCGGAUCUCCCCAGCCCUUCUGCCAGUGUACAGGUAAUGCAUACAUGGCAUGAGAACUCUGAGUGUGUUGAAAUGUCGCUAUAUUAUUUGAAUCCUGUAUGUUACAGGACCUACAACUUCAGAUGGAGGCAACAGAGAGACUGAAGCUAAGGGUCAUCCUUGAUAAUGAUAAUGCUGAAAGACUUAUUCUGCCAUCUCGCCCAAGCAGUGUUCAGGCCCUCAUAGAUGAAAUCAAAACUAGGCUAAAGUUGACUUUUGACUUUAGGCUUCAGUUUGAAGAUCCAGAUUUUGAUCAUGCAUUGUGUAAUUUGGUUGAAAUGGAACACCUCCCAAGCACAGCAUCGGUUAAAAUAAUCAGAUUAGUGGAGCUGGACUUGAUUUCAACCAGCACUAGUGAGACAAGUCUUCUGAACGAUAGCACUGAUGCCAUAGAUUCACCAGAGCGUAUUAGUCGGUGGCCAGAGGUUUUUAUUGUUCCAAAAUUUUCUUAUGAGGUGGAACAUGUGCUAAAGGAAGGUAAUGCAGCAUUUGAAAAAGAUGGGAAACUAAUUAGACUUCCUAGAGAUCAAAAACACAACAUACUCGAGGUAAUGGGGGAAGAAAAUUUUUAAACUGAAGGCAUAUCCUAGUAGCACACAGAUUGGAAAGGCUGCAAAGGCUUUAGUUGAAAAGCAUCCCUGUCUGAAGGAGAACAAUUCUGACACUGGUUGGGAAGGAUGGAAGAAUAGUUUGAGACACAAAAUAGGAAACCAAAGAAAGAAGUUGGCCAAAGCCGGCAUCAGAGAUGUUGCUGUAAACUCUGGAAAGCGCAGCAGAACAAACCCAGAAGGAGCUGCACCAAGAGCCAAUAGUAAAAGACCUAAGAGAGGUGAGGUCAACUUCCUUCCCAGUUGUCCUUCUGGAGAAACAAGAGAGUCUCUGGAGAAAAGGAGGGUUGAUGAUAGAAGAGUUCCGGAAGACCUCUGCUGAAAGGGACAUUCCACUCAUUCAUCAGCACAUGAUGCGCACUUUUUCCCUGAGACGUGAAGAGAUCAUUACAUCUUCUCUUCCUGUAUCAGAGCUUAAGGACAGAUGGCCAGCUCUCUUUAAUGAGACACAUCUCUACUGUGAAUUUCACCGGAUUACCAAUCUUCAUCUACCACAUGUUUUUUAUGCUGCACUGGAUGAAUAUGCUCCUCGGCUGAUUGGACUUUACAAAAAGAAGAAAACUGGACGGGUUGGUGAAAACAUGGACCAGCUGUUGUUGGAAUAUGAGCAACAGGACAAGAAUGACAUCUGCACAACAAGAACAGCAGCCCUGGCUGGCCUGCCGAUUUACCUCAAGGAGGAUUCUUCAGGCAUUUUCAAAACAUGCAAGG
Molecule: non-coding RNA, 4700 nt
Organism: Nothobranchius furzeri (turquoise killifish)
Lineage: Eukaryota; Metazoa; Chordata; Actinopteri; Cyprinodontiformes; Nothobranchiidae
Source: RefSeq, a predicted model, not a curated record